AGUCAGAGCAAGGAUCUGUCCCCUCGCUCCCUAUUUUCCCCAUCCAGCUGAGAUUCCACGAUCUGCCCCCUCAGCCAGGCCCUCGCGGACCCCCACCUCUCUUGCUUCGUCGUCUUGUAUCGUCCACCCUCCCCAAACACCCGGAAAAACCUCACCUCGGAUCAUGCCACAGUUUCUGAGUUCUUUGUACACCUGGGCUGCUGAACUCUGCUUGAGAUCAGAUGACCUCACAGACUGGUGCCACCAUAAAUUCAUGACUGCCAGACUCCACGGGGCCCUCUGUGUUGCCUGCGAUCUGCUCUCUCACAGGGCUGCUGCUCCAGUUGACUCAUGCUUCUCCCCCCCUCACGCUUCUGACCUCAACACACCUCCCCUUUAUGAAGUCAAUGCCUCUAACAGGAAAGCCCUUGACCACCCACCACCAAGCCUGUGGACACAUCCGCCUCCACACCCACCCCGGCCGGACUCUAAACUCCACCUCGUCUCAAAGAGCCCGUUCUUUGUUUGGUCCCCUCUCUGCUCCAUCUGUCAUUUUUUUCUGAGCCACCUCCUUGCCAUCAGCACCCGAGGAGAACACAGGUGGUUCCUGUAUUUAAAAAUCAAACCAACUUCCUCCCCCUUUCCCCAUGUCCCCUUCCCCAACCACCUCGCUCCUACGCUCAUUAUCUUCGUUCCCCACCGCAGUCCGCCUACUACCACCGGUCCGCUACAGUGUUCUCACCAGGGACCUCAUUGCUGUUAAGCCCAGAGGAGUCCUCACCUUGCUGGACAGCAUCUGACCCUGCCCAGCAGUCCUCGACUUCUGGAAACAUCACCUUGAUUUCGAUGACGACCAAGUCCUCUGAUUUUCUCUGACUUCUCUGGGUACAUCCUGUCAGUCUUUUUCAAGUCACCCAUUCCCUACGUGUUGGAGUCUUCGGGGGGCGCUAAGCUAUCUUCUCCGGUCACCGUACACACUCUCGCUAGAUACCUCUCACCUUGGGAAGCCUGGUGUAAUCUUCUCAGACGACUUCUACACACUCCAUCAUCUCUACGGUCUCCAUGCAGCCACCACGCUGGGUCCCUGUCCCAGGAACAGAGGGCCUUUCCAGAAGAAGUGAAGGUUCUCCUCAUGUACCGCUUUUGCAGGAAGAAAUAGAGAAGCCAGAUAUCUUAAUGCCUGACCAGGGGCCGGCCGUGGUCCCCCCGCUCCCCAUCUGCUAGAAAGUUUCCACACCCACUGGGAGUCCAGCCUGCUGGGAACCAGGGUGGACCUUUGAGUGUUUCUGUGGCCUAGAAGACCUGAGUUUCCACUGAAUUCGAUUAUUAAUUAGCUGUGCAAUCCAGGGCACAUCACUCUCCUUCUCUGACUCUCACUUCCUCUCUGUAAUUAAGGAAUUUGGACUAAAUGAUCUCUUAAGUUCUUUUUAGCUCCACUGUUCUAUUCUCACUUUCUAAGUUGCCGUUUAUAGAUGUGGAAAGGUAGGGGCACCUGGGUGGCUCAGACGGUGAAGUGUCCGACUUCAGCUCAGGUCA
This is a long non-coding RNA of Herpailurus yagouaroundi (jaguarundi), 1515 nucleotides long. RefSeq lists it as uncharacterized. The record is from RefSeq and is a predicted model, not a curated record. The transcript has 3 exons. NCBI's taxonomy places the organism in Eukaryota, Metazoa, Chordata, Mammalia, Carnivora, Felidae.